Long non-coding RNA from Cavia porcellus (domestic guinea pig), 3732 nucleotides. RefSeq lists it as uncharacterized. The transcript is spliced from 4 exons. The record is from RefSeq and is a predicted model, not a curated record. Lineage: Eukaryota; Metazoa; Chordata; Mammalia; Rodentia; Caviidae.
CACUGUUUUCAGAGGUCACAGAGUGCACCGACUACUAAAAGACACUCUCUGAAUCUAUUGCAGGCUUGCAUGAUAAUGAUUUUCCUAAAUUUUACCAGCGUUUGUUGAGCCUUUGGCGGGAGGCAAGCCUCUGCACAAUCCAUAUUCUGGAAUGAUUUGGGGGAUGAUUCACCCUCCAGCUUCUACUGACUGAACGCCUCCUGCCAGUUGAGGAGCAGUUCAAUGAGAGCAGGCAGGUCCUUGAUGUCAGGAAGAUGGACCAUUCUCAGCUCCACUUGCUGAUGGGGAGUCUGGCCACAGCUUGGUUUCUUAAGUCUGAAAGACUCAUCAGGCAGCCACAGCACAAAGAUGUGAUCUUCCGUUUGGGCUGAACAGCAGAUGGAGAGUACAGCAAUGUCUUGUGGCAGAGGCAGGCCACCCACCGUGGGUCCCGGGAAGCAGAUGAAUGCCAGCUGCAGAGAAGGAAGCACAAGGGGAGCUGCAGAAGGAGCUCAGGCAUCAGAUGUUACGGCAAUGAAAGAUUUGAAGGCUUUAUAACAUCAAGUGAGAAGAAAGGUUGAGAGGUUCAAGUGACAUAACUGAAGUUCUCAACAUUAGCAACUCGGCCGAGACACCUAACGGCUUGGCACGUAUCCAUGCCCUGCAGCCUCCUGCAUCACUGCUGCGUGUGUACGUACUGAAGGGUUUAAUGAAUCAUAAACAUAUGAUCACCUCAUGGAAAAAAAAUGUGUUGUGCCCAGUCCUCUUUUCCAUAAAGAAAGCCCCAUUGGGCAAUGCAGACAUGUGGAAACAGGCCACAAAAAUGCAGCAAAUUAGUCCUUGUUAUCCUCUCAUCCGUGCAGGAAAGUUUUAAAAGGUAAUAAAGUCCUAGGGUCCUACAAUUGGCACUUUAGCCUCUGUUCUUAGAGUAAAAUAUAGUGUGGGAUAACUACUAUACAUCUAAGCAUUUAGUUUAGCUUUUAAUUCAAAGGGGAUUUCAAAUCAUGCUGUCACCUGUUCCCAAGUUUUCCACUGCAGGUUACCAUCCCAAAGUAACUCAUUAAAAUAAAUGAAAACAAAUAGGAUUAUGCAAGAAAAAUGUCACUAGUGCUAUUAUAAAAUAAGAAUGUUUGGCACCACUCAAUAAAGCUAUAAUUCUGAGCUGUAAAUAUAAUCCGUGGAAAUUCAGAUGACAUCUCAACUCAUUAGUUCUGUUCCGUAUUUGUGCUUGUGCUUGGAAUAGAUGAUAAUGUAGUCUUGUAGGAUCCCAGCAUCAUAAGGGUCAUUGUUUGCUCUAAUGAACAAUGAUGCAAUUCUAUGCUAUGAUUAUUCUUGUUUGUCAAGUAUCCUGUUUAUGUAAUUUCUUAGCAUCAUGGGUAACCCUGUCAUUCAAAUUUGUGUACACCCAUACCAAAAAGUCAAACCUAUAUACCUUUCAAAACAGUGUGUCUCGUCUUGCUUUUUAAUUUUUACAGGAUUUUCUGGGGCAGAGGCUGGGAUAGAAAUUUGGAUGAAUCAUUUAUAUCAUUUUCUAGUUUUUUUUUUCCCACUGUAAGCAUUUGUUUAAAAUUUAGUAAUCCUUUUAGGAGAUGUAACCUGAUUGAGAAAGUGGGGUGAGGGACGGAAAGAAGAGAUGAACUAUCAGACGUAGAGAAGAUGAACUUUCAGAAGGAAGCACAGGAACUUAUUUGCCUGAAUAAGCUGAAGUCUAAAUCCAAAAUAGGUGAGCUGGUAUAAGACGUGCAGUGAGGGGCUGGGGAUUUAGCUUAGCAACAUAAGCGCCUGCCUGGCAAGUGCGAGGUCAUAAGUUCGAUCCCCCCCAAAAAAAGAUGUGCAGUGAUGCUUAGAAGGAAAUUUAAAUGUGUGUGUGCAACCCAGUGUGCUACAACCGCUGUGGGCUACGCGUGGUGUGCAACUGCAGCCCUACCACCCUUCAGCCAGCUAGUCUUCAGCCAGAUGCACAGGGACUAGAAGAUCAAAGCAACCAGGGCAGCCACAUGUAAAGAGUACGCUUGAUGCUAGGGGAAUGUCAGGUUUUCAAGCAUAGGACUCACAACCAGGGGGACAGAGGAACCCACAGAAUGAAUAGAAAAAGCUCUCGCCUCUGAGAACUCCUAACACAUGGUAUAGCAAUGCUAAGGGAAAACUUUGUUGUCAGGAAAUUCCCAGUUAGGUGCCCAGUGGAGUCUUGGAAAUAAAACUAAGUGAUGUAAGUUUUUCCAAAUCGUGUCUUUCUUUUAAAUGUGAUUGGAUAGUGUUUAUGCCUUCUUUCUUCCUCUGAGAGGUUUAGUUCCUUCCUCUCCAUGAGUUGUAUCAUAAAUAAGGUUUGUAUGAUUAUCACUUGAAACACUGAAUAAGUUGGUGUAGGAUAUCAUAUGGAUGGCUCUCCUGAAAUAUGAAAAGCUUAUUUCCACUUAGCUAAAUCUGGCUGUGUCUGAUACACACAGAGCUGGCUAAGCCAGAUCCCUUGCCCUUCAACUGGCUCUAAGCAGUGUAAGUAGGGCUAGCUGAGGUAUGUAUAAUCUUGGAAGACAGUGAAACUCCGUUUUCUCACUGUUAGAGUUUCCCUGUAAAUGGGGGAGCCCAAUGGGAUAGCCCAGCCAGUGCUCCAGGGUUAUCAACUGGGAUCCAGAGGUUUGACUUUCUAGGACUCAGAAGUUUAGGCAGCAGGAAGUGAAGCAACAGCCCCUAAACAUCAUAUGCUACCUCAACUGUGUUAUGCAGAUUGAUCUUUCUGCAUAUCGCUGCACAUUGCAGAGGUGCUUUCUGGCCUCCUAGCUAGCUCAGCUCACAGUGCUCGUGGAAUUCCUGCCAUUCUCCCCACCACUCACCCUCUAGCGGCUCCCUUCUUCAUGAGUUGACUGGGUUAGGCCCCGGGGCAUAUGGGAACCCCGUCUGGACCAGACUCAGGACCCCGUGGCUGCCUGUAACUAUAAAAUGUUAGAGUGUCUUUAUUCUCUCCAUUGGUUUCACUGAACAUGGUAGAUUGGAAUUAAUUUAUCAGAAUUCCAGUAAUGUUUCUAUGCAAUCACAAACACAAACUUUCAGGAAAAUGGCCUCUAUAGGUUGAAGCCAAUCCUAAAAAGUGAGGUGUCUCAAACUGAAUUCAAAGCACGUAAGUUAGCAAAUGUUCUUUAACUGGCUCUUGCUAGCUGUGUGAAAUUAGGCCAAUUAUCUAGCAGCUUUUACACUAUGGUUUUAAUGUUUCCCCAAACUUGAUAUGUUGGAAAUGCAAUCUCCUGUACAAGUGUUGAGAAUGGAGCAAAGCCAUGAGGAGAUCAAUGUCGUCGUGUUAGGGGUGCACUUACUAUAAAAGCCAGGUUAGCCCCUCUGGUUCUGUCACGUUCUCACCUCUUUCCUCUGUCACAGGAUGAAGUAAUUCUGGAAGAAAAUGUCAGUGUGGGCCAAAUUUAUCCUCAGCUAGGUCUGGGUCCUUAAGGACCAACACUGGAAAUUAUAGAAUUCCCAAAAUCUUUGGAAUUAAGAUGAAGUCUCUGGCAUUGUAUGAUCAAGGUUAAGAUCAGUAUAUGUCUGGAUUUUCCCAAGAUGGGCCAGAAUUAUGUGUGUUGUCUUAAUAAAGUUAUUAAUAAAAUUUCUUUUGCUUUCCAAAGUAUAAAAGUUUGAAUGUUAAGUUAUAUAAUUGGCACAUCACAAAGUACUUUGGAUGACUCUAAGCUUUCAUGUGUAAGUCACUAAUCAGGGGACUCUGUAUUGACCCAAGGAGCCUGCUAUUAUCAGUGCUGCUGAUAAUGU